GACGGAGGGUGCAAGCGUUAUUCGGAAUCACUGGGCGUAAAGAGCGUGUAGGCGGCCGGGUAAGUCCGGUGUGAAAGCCCAGGGCUCAACCCUGGAAGGGCACUGGAAACUGCUCGGCUUGAGUACGGGAGAGGGAAGCGGAAUUCCUGGUGUAGAGGUGAAAUUCGUAGAUAUCAGGAGGAACACCGGUGGCGAAGGCGGCUUCCUGGACCGAUACUGACUCUGAGACGCGAAAGCGUGGGGAGCAAACAGG
This 253-nucleotide ribosomal RNA is filed under the name uncultured bacterium. Its description in RNAcentral is "partial 16S ribosomal RNA". It matches the Rfam family "Bacterial small subunit ribosomal RNA", at positions 524 to 776 of the family's 1533-position model. The record is from RNAcentral.